RNAcentral lists this ribosomal RNA (474 nucleotides) under uncultured bacterium. RNAcentral's name for it is "partial 16S ribosomal RNA". It matches the Rfam family "Bacterial small subunit ribosomal RNA", at positions 28 to 523 of the family's 1533-position model. The record is from RNAcentral.
GACGAACGCUGGCGGCGUGCCUAACACAUGCAAGUCGAGCGAUGAAGCCUUCGGGUGGAUUAGCGGCGGACGGGUGAGUAACACGUGGGUAACCUGCCUCAAAGAGGGGGAUAGCCUCCCGAAAGGGAGAUUAAUACCGCAUAACAUUAGAUUGUCGCAUGACAGUUUAAUCAAAGCAGUAAUGCACUUUGAGAUGGACCCGCGGCGCAUUAGCUAGUUGGAGAGGUAACGGCUCACCAAGGCGACGAUGCGUAGCCGACCUGAGAGGGUGAUCGGCCACAUUGGAACUGAGACACGGUCCAGACUCCUACGGGAGGCAGCAGUGGGGAAUAUUGCACAAUGGGCGAAAGCCUGAUGCAGCAACGCCGCGUGAGUGAUGAAGGCCUUCGGGUUGUAAAGCUCUGUCUUCUGGGACGAUAAUGACGGUACCAGAGGAGGAAGCCACGGCUAACUACGUGCCAGCAGCCGCGGUAA